Molecule: ribosomal RNA, 440 nt
Filed under: uncultured bacterium
Lineage: Bacteria
Description: partial 16S ribosomal RNA
Rfam family: Bacterial small subunit ribosomal RNA
Source: RNAcentral
CCUACGGGUGGCAGCAGUGGGGGAUAUUGCACAAUGGGGGAAACCCUGAUGCAGCGACGCCGCGUGGGUGAAGAAGCGCCUCGGCGCGUAAAGCCCUGUCAGCAGGGAAGAAAAUGACGGUACCUGAAGAAGAAGCCACGGCUAACUACGUGCCAGCAGCCGCGGUAAUACGUAGGGGGCAAGCGUUAUCCGGAUUUACUGGGUGUAAAGGGGGCGCAGACGGCGAUGCAAGCCAGGAGUGAAAGCCCGGGGCCCAACCCCGGGACUGCUCGUGGAACUGCGUGGCUAGAGUGCAGGAGGGGGAGGCGGAAGUCCUGGUGUAGCGGUGAAAUGCGUAGAUAUCAGGAGGAACACCGGUGGCGAAGGCGGCCUGCUGGACGGCAACUGACGUUGAGGCCCGAAAGCGUGGGGAGCAAACAGGAUUAGAUACCCUGGUAGUC